UGACAGUUUUAUAUGCUUCUCUAAAAGAUUAAGCCAUGCAAAUGUAAGAAAGUACUACUUGAAUUAGUAAAUCGGUGAAAGGCUCCGUAAAUCAGUUAUUGUUUAUUUGAAUGUGGAAACUAGAAACAGUUUCAAAUAUUUAGGUGGAUAAUUGUGGGAAAACUAGAAAUAAUACAUGCGAAAAGAGGAGACUGUGGCAACACGGAAUCCUUGCAUUAACUAGUUGUUUUCAAGAGGUGUACAUUACACUUUUGAUGAUGAACUACAGUUUACUAAAUAGCAGAUUGAUAAUCUUUUUUAUCAACGCUUCAUUCAAAUUUCUGCUUUAUCAAUUAACGUUGGUACGGUAUUGGCGUACCAUGGUUAUAACGAGUAAGGAAUUCUAUGGGAAUGAUUCCUGAGAUUUCGCCUGAGAAAUAGCGAAAAUAUCUAAGGAUAGCAGCAGGCGCGAAAAUUACCCAAUGCAAAAACUGCGAGGUAGUGACAAGAAAUAACGACAGGAUUAUUUCAGUUAUAAAAAUAACUGAAAACCUGAUUGCAAUGAGUACAAUUUAAAAAUAUUAAUUAGAAUCAAUUUGAGGGCAAGUUCUGGUGCCAGCAGCCGCGGUAAUUCCAGCUCAAAUAGUGUAUAUUAAAAUUGUUGUAAUUAAAAAGUUUGUAGUUUGAAGUUAUCACAAUUCAAUAAAAAUGGAUGGAAGUAACGAUUUAUUUCUGUCCAAUGAGUUGUGAUAUUAAGCGAACAAAGAAUCAUCUAUUCUCUGAAAGGAGGAUGGGUGAAAUCUAUUCUUUGUUCAUUUUACCAUAAAUAAAAUAGAGUGUUUAAAGCAUGUCAUUUAUUGACAAUUGAAUAAUUUAGUAUGGGAUAAUGAAAGACGAGAGAAAAAAGAGAGUACAUCUCGCAGCAUCAGGGGGGGAUUCGUCUCUUUUUUGGUGUUGGUCUUUUUUCUCUAAUGAUUAAUAGGGACAAUUGGGGCAAUUAGUAUUUCUACUCGAGCGGUGAAAUGCAUAGACAGUAGAAAGACUAACUAAUGCGAAAGCAUCUUGCAAGGGUGUUUUCAUUAAUCAAG
This 1067-nucleotide ribosomal RNA is filed under the name uncultured soil eukaryote. RNAcentral describes it as "SSU rRNA". It matches the Rfam family "Eukaryotic small subunit ribosomal RNA", at positions 15 to 981 of the family's 1831-position model. The record is from RNAcentral.